This 440-nucleotide ribosomal RNA is filed under the name uncultured bacterium. RNAcentral describes it as "partial 16S ribosomal RNA". It matches the Rfam family "Bacterial small subunit ribosomal RNA", at positions 338 to 795 of the family's 1533-position model. The record is from RNAcentral.
CCUACGGGAGGCAGCAGUGGGGAAUAUUGCACAAUGGGGGAAACCCUGAUGCAGCGACGCCGCGUGAGUGAAGAAGUAUUUCGGUAUGUAAAGCUCUAUCAGCAGGGAAGAAAAUGACGGUACCUGAUUAAGAAGCACCGGCUAACGACGUGCCAGCAGCCGCGGGAAUACGUAGGGGGAAAGCGUUAUCCGGAUGUACUGGGUGUAAAGGGAGCGUAGACGGCAGCACAAGUCUGGAGUGAAAUGCCGGGGCUUAACCCCGGAACUGCUUUGGAAACUGUGCAGCUAGAGUGCAGGAGAGGGAAGUGGAAUUCCUAGUGUAGCGGUGAAAUGCGUAGAGAUUAGGAGGAACACCAGUGGCGAAGGCGGCUUACUGGACUGUAACUGACGUUGAGGCUCGAAAGCGUGGGGAGCAAACAGGAUUAGAUACCCGGGUAGUC